RNAcentral lists this ribosomal RNA (492 nucleotides) under uncultured bacterium. Its description in RNAcentral is "partial 16S ribosomal RNA". It matches the Rfam family "Bacterial small subunit ribosomal RNA", at positions 29 to 507 of the family's 1533-position model. The record is from RNAcentral.
AUUGAACGCUGGCGGCAUGCUUUACACAUGCAAGUCGAACGGUAACAGGCCUUCGGGUGCUGACGAGUGGCGGACGGGUGCGUAAUGCAUCGGAACGUACCCAGAGGUGGGGGAUAACGCAGCGAAAGCUGUGCUAAUACCGCAUGUGAUCUGAGGAUGAAAGCGGGGGACCGAGCAGCAAUGUUUGGCCUCGCGCCUUUGGAGCGGCCGAUGUCGGAUUAGCUAGUUGGUGGGGUAAAGGCCUUCCAAGGCGACGCUCCGUAGCUGGUCUGAGCGGACGACCAGCCACACUGGGACUGAGACACGGCCCAGACUCCUACGGGAGGCAGCAGUGGGGAAUUUUGGACAAUGGGCGCAAGCCUGAUCCAGCAAUGCCGCGUGCGGGAAGAAGGCCUUCGGGUUGUAAACCGCUUUUGGCAGGAACGAAACGGUGUCCGCUAAUACCGGGCGCUAAUGACGGUACCUGCAGAAUAAGCACCGGCUAACUACGUG